This 500-nucleotide ribosomal RNA is filed under the name uncultured bacterium. Its description in RNAcentral is "bacterial SSU rRNA". It matches the Rfam family "Bacterial small subunit ribosomal RNA", at positions 8 to 518 of the family's 1533-position model. The record is from RNAcentral.
AGAGUUUGAUCCUGGCUCAGGAUGAACGCUGGCGGCGUGCCUAACACAUGCAAGUCGAACGAGCGAGAGAUGAAACCUAGUGAUUCUCGAGCGAGUGGCGGACGGGUGAGUAACGCGUGGGUAACCUGCCUUACAGAGGGGGAUAACAGUCUGAAAAGACUGCUAAUACCGCAUAAGCACACAGUACCGCAUGGUACAGGGUGAAAAGAUUUAUCACUGUAAGAUGGACCCGCGUCUGAUUAGCCAGUUGGCAGGGUAACGGCCUACCAAAGCGACGAUCAGUAGCCGACCUGAGAGGGUGAUCGGCCACAUUGGGACUGAGACACGGCCCAAACUCCUACGGGAGGCAGCAGUGGGGGAUAUUGCACAAUGGAGGAAACUCUGAUGCAAGCGACGCCGCGUGAGUGAAGAAGUAUUUCGGUAUGUAAAGCUCUAUCAGCAGGGAAGAUAAUGAAGGUACCCAAGUAAGAAGCCCCGGCUAACUACGUGCCAGCCGCUGC